GUGGAAAAAGCACUUGAAUCCCUCCAAUUGAAUGAAUUGCACUAUGAAUUGAAUGUGUUACUAUAGCUUUCACAUCCUAUGUUCAAAAACAAAAAUGUGUAUUAAAUUUCUGAGGCAUAAGUUAUCAUUAUUUCCUUGUUCCAAAUAACUUCGUAAAAAGAAUUUCAAAAAUAUUGACAUUUUUAAAGCCCUCAGUUAUAUAAUUUUUGAUACACAUAUAAAAUAGAAACUUGAAAUAUCUUUGCCAACCACUUUAAAUCUGAAACUUACGUUGAGAUUUUUAUACUGAAAUAUGAAGCUAUAAAUGGAAAAAUAAUUUAGAAUAAGAAAUACCAUCAGAAGAUUUAAAGACAUUCAAGUAAUUUUUAUGUGGGGGAGUUAUAGUAGUACAUCUUUAAAGCAAUGUAUAUUUUUGUGUCUAACAGCUAUCUGUUCAGCUAAUCAAAGGAUUUUUUUUUCCCAAAGGAUACAUAACAGAUAAGAUAACAGAAAUGACAGAUUCCCUACUAAGGAGACUGACUAGUCCAAGGUAAAGUAUAUUGCCAAAAAAUUAAAAUAAAAAAAUAAGGUAGAAGGUAAAAAUGUCAUGCAAAGAACUAGAAGAUGAAAAAAAAAUACCAACUGUAGACCUAUAGGUUGGUAAUAUUUAAUACGUAAAAUAGAUACUGUUAAUACUCAAUGAAAAUAUGGAAACUAAGCUACUAUUCACCUACCUGGAGCAUUAGGGCAUGUGGGGAAUGCACAAAAAUUGAUGCAUUUUCCUUUGGUGAUGAUUCCAGGCAUAGCUGCGCAUCAGUGGCCUUAGCAUUAUAUGUAAAUGCAAUGCUACUUGCAAGUUUCCCAUCAUACAGAACCUGUUUAUGAUGUUCUGCCAAAUGAAUGUCACUCUCAGAUUUAAAUUUGAAGGUACUCUGAAAAAAUAAAACUAAAUUAAAUUCUCUUUUUAAAUGUAACAUAAUAAAACUCUAAAGUCUUAAAGCACAGAAGUAUUUAAGAUAAUAAAGAAUUUGUUUUGACCCUUCCAUGUGUCAGGUAUUAGUCAAUGGUAUUAUAUUAUUUUGUUAGCUCACUUCAGUUCUAGAAGUUAAAUUGUACUCAGUAUGCUAAUAAACACACUCAGAUCUUCAUAUUCUCAUUUUUAUUGUUUUUUUGAUUAUCUACAAAAUAAUUUUAUUAGAAAAAAAUGUACAUUCAGAUGUUAUUAAAUAUCAAGGGAGUUUGAUUUAAUACUUCAUGACAUAAAUUUAAUGUUUCUUGUUAACACAUUCACAAGUAUUUACAUGAGUAUACAGUACCUGGGACAUCAAUUACUCAUAUAGAAAAAUGAGUAUCAUUUAAGACUAUGAAGAAUAUUUAUGUGUAGAAAUAUUUAGCUCUUAAGUAUAGCAACAUAUUGAAUAACAAUACCAGUCUACAAAAGCAUCAGAAAGUCAUGUUAAACCCAGAAGUUCAUAUAUAUAUAUAUAUAUAUAUAUGAAUUUUAAUUUGUAUUUUAUUUGCAAAUUUGUAAUUUAAUGCAAAUAUUUAAAAACACUGUGCAUAUAUAAAGUGUCACCACUUUAUAUACAGAAUACAGAAAUAAUAAAGAUGUACUAGCUGUAAUAAAAAAAAGUAUUGGUAGAAAUGGUUAAAAUUUCGCUACAGAUACAAACCUGACAAUAACAAUGACAAGUAAUAUUUCACCUUUGCAACAAUUACAUGAUAUCAGUAUUUUUAUUAUUUUCAACCUAACAACUAUGAAAACUGAAUGUUAGAAAAAUUAAGAUCUGGAAUAGACGGUACCAGUAUCAAUGGAUCAAAAGUGAAGUGACCUAUAUUAUAAUCUAGGCUCUACCACUAAUUAUCUCUAGACCCUUAUUUGGUGUCAAAGAUAUCAUUUAACCAAUGUGGCUCGAUUGGUUACUGUUACAGUAAGAUUAAACCAAACGUUCCAAACCCACAUUCUUGUAGGAGGUGAACAGACACAGGCAUAAAUGAAGCAGGUCAAGUGGGGGUUUCUUCAGACUACAGAAGUACAUGUCCUGUCUAAAAGUGUUCCUCAAUGUUCAGCUCAAUUAUUGUACCAUGUUGCCAGUUCCUCAAUAUUUUUCAAAAGGAACAUGAACUCUGGACUUUUACAUAAAUAUAAAAUCACCUAAUUUGUAAUUUAAUGCAAAUAUUUAAAAACACUGGGCAAACCAAACAUGUCAGGUCAAAUUCAGCCCAUUUUGUACUUCUAAACUCGUAUCCAGAGACCCUUCCUUACUGGAACCUGGAUGCAAACCAUUGAAUUAGGCACAUGCAAAGGGAAGAGCAGCAUGAAUAAAUGAAAAUUUGUACGAAGGUAGCUAUGGAAGGAUGAUACUUUUUGUCCUUUAAAUGUAAGCACAUUUACAUAUUUUGAUAUUAGAAAUAAGCUAACCCAAUUGCAGUAUUUGGGAUCAGACCUUGCUUUCUGUUCUCAAUUAAAUGGAAGGCAGAACUUUAUCUGCCACCCCAGAGAUUUAAAAUGUAAUCUGUUUAUAUAACUCACAGAUUCACACCUCCCAAUCUAGAGGCAACAGUUGGGCUUAAAAUAUGUUCUGGUUUAAAAUAAAGAUUAUAUUUCAGUCCCUCUUGCACUAAAGAAUAGGUGACAAUUACAAUAAAAAAAGAUUUUUUUUAAAGUCUUCUUUGAGAGGAGUCAACAUGGUGGAGAAGUAGGGGGACCCAAAGUUCCCUUAUCCCUCAAACACAGCAGUACUGAGGUCAGGAGACUUAGAAUUUCAGGAAUCUCGGCUACAGAGUGACAGAAACAUCUCAAGGGGCCCUUGGUGACAAAUUGGUAGGCCAUAGGUGCGUGAUUAUGAAUUGGGAGAGAUAAAACACAUGGCGUAGGCAGAGAGGAGAGGGAUCCCCUUCUGUGGAUAGACAAAAGGAAGAGAAAGAGAGGGUGUGGAAGUGUAGGAUUGUAUUUGAACAAGAGAAAACCCACAGACUGGGAAACGGGAAAAAAGGAGAAAGAACCAAUUUCUAACACAAUCCAGAGUUGCAGGACUUUCUCUGGACUGGGAGCAGACACACUGUACACUCUCCUGAUGGGGAGGAGGAGCCAGCCCCAGCCUGGGUAGCUAGCUCAGAGGGCAGUCAGAGAGAGCAGUCGUCUCCCUUGGGUGCUGUGGUAAGAAGGUAUAUAGUAGCUCCACGGACAAAAGAUCCUGCAGACACCCACCAGCCAGAGGCCCUCUGUCUGCUGGCUGGGCAAAAUGGCACUACACUGGAACUGGGGCAUUGGAGCAGGAUCCUUUAAAUUCAGGGCCAGUCUGAAUCCCAGCCAAGCGCCUGGGAGGCACAGGAAGCCGUGGAACGGGACAAACGGGACACACGGGCUGCUCGUGCAGGUGCCGCACUGUGAGAAUAGCCUGAACACAGUGGUUUGGGUCAUCUGGUCUGGGGAGGAGAGACUGGGGUGUCAAUAUUUUUCUCCCCAUCACCAAAAAGGUGGGGCUUCAGAGAACAGAAAACAGGCCCACUGUGGAGGCUGGACCCGCCUAUACCAAACCACGCCCCUCUUUGCUUGGUAGCUGAGUAUCUACCAGAGCAAGAUUGACAAUGACAGAACCAGAUGGCCCCUCCUGCAGACCAGUAGAGUCACCAGUUCCAAGGCACCGUCAGAUAUUGGUCUAGCAGUUUUGCAUUUUCUGAUUUGAUUCUUGGUCAACUCUAAUUUUAUAUAUAACAUAUAUGUAAUAUUUUUUUCCUUCCCUUUCUUCCUCUUCUUUCUUCCCUUCUCUAUUCUGGUUGUUGGUUUGUUUAACCAAACAUUUUUAAUCUAUUCUUUUUAUACUUCCUCUAUAUCUCCUUCUUAUUUAUUUUCCUCUCUCUCUCUCUCUCUGAAGAGAGAGACUCCAAAACACAUCCUGAAGGACCAGACCCUGGACAGUGUAUGACCCCUUUUUAAUAUAAUAGUGCUCGCCGGUGCAGGACAUGUAAUAGGGUAUUAAAACACAUAAGGGACAGAAAACUAGCCAAAAUGAUGAAAACAAAGAAUUCUCCUCAAAAGAAAUUCCAGGAAGAAAUGACAGCUAGAGAAUUGCUCAAAACAGAUAUAAACAAUAUAUCUGAUCAAAAAAGAAUAAUUGUCAUAAGAUUAAUAGCUAGGCUUGAAAAAAAGCUUAGAAGACAGCAGAGAAUCUAUUGCUACAGAGAUCAAGGAACUAAGAAAUAGUCACGAUGAAUUAAGAAAAUGUUGUGCAAAAUAAACUAGAGGUGGUGACAGCAAGUAUGGAGGAAGCAGAGAAGAGAAUAAGUGAAAUAGAAGACAAAAUUACGGAAAAUGAUGAAGCCGAGAAAAAGAGAGAUAAGAAAAUACUAGACAAUAAGGGGAGAAUUAGAGAACUAAGUGAUUCAAUGAAAUUUAAUAAUAUCCAUAUCAUAGGAGUUCCACAAGAAGAGAGGGAGAAAGGGGCAGAAGGUUUACAUGAACAAGUUAUAGCUGACAAUUUUCCUAAUCUGGGUAAGGAAGCAGACAUCCAAAUCCAGAAGGCACAGAGAACUCUCUUCAGAUUCAACAAGAAUAGGUCUUUGCCAUGGCAUUAUCAUAGUGAAACCAGCAAAAUACAAAGAUAGAGAAUUCUGAAAGCAAGUAGGGACAAAUAGGCUUUAAUCUACAAGAGUAGACACAUAAAGGUAGUAGCAAACCUGUCUGGUGAAACUUGGCAGGCCAGAAGGCAGUGGCAGGAAAUAUUCAAAGUGCUGAAUAGAAAAAAUACGCAGCCAAGAAUCCUUUAUCCAGCAGGGCUGUCAUUCAGAAUAGAAGGAGAGAUAAGGUCUUUCCAAGACAAACAAAAACUGAAGGAGUUCAUGACUACUAAGUCCACUCUAUGAAUGGAACGUUGCAAAGACUACAAAGGACCAGAGACAUUACCACAAGCAUGAAACCUACAGGUAACAAUGACACUAAAUCCAUAUCUUUUAAUAACUCUAAAUGUAAAUGGGCUAAAUGCCCCAAUCAAAAGACACAGGGUAUCAGAAUAGAUAAACAAGAUCCAUCUAUAUGCUGUCUACAAGAGACUCAUUUUAGACUUGAAGAGAGGGGAUAGAGAACCAUCUAUCACACUACUAGAAGUCAAAAGAAAGCUGGAGUAGCCAUACUUAUAUCAGACAAACUAAAUUUUAAACUAAAGACUGUAACAAGAGAUGAAGAAGGGCAUUAUAUCAUAAUUAUGGGGUCUAUCUAUCAAGAAGAGCUAACAAUUAUAAAUGUUUACACCCCCAACAUGAAGGCAACCCAAAUAUAUAAAUCAGUUAAUCACAAACAUAAGCAAUCUUAUUGAUAAGAAUACAGUAAUUGCAGGGGACUUUAAUAUACACUAACAACAAUGAACAGAUCAUCUAGGCAGAAAAUUAAUAAAGAAAUAAUGGCUUUGAAUUAUACACUGAACCAGAUGGACUUGGCAGAUAUAUUCAGAACACAUCCAAAAGCAGCAGAAUACACAUUCUCCUCGAGUGCACAUGGAACAUUCUCCAAGAUAGAUCACAUACUGGGUCACGAAACAGCCUCAAUAAACAUAAAAGAACUGAGAUCAUACCAUGCAUAUUUUAAGACCACAAUGCUACGAAACUUGAAAUCAACCAUAAGAAAAAAUUUGUAAAGUCUCCAAAUGCAUGGAGGUAAAGAACAUUCUACUAAAGAAUGAAUGGGUCAAGCAGGCAAUUAAGGAAGAAAUUUAAAAAUACAUGGAAGCAAAUGUAAAUGAAAACACAACAGUCCAAAGCCUUUGGGAUGCAGCAAAGGCAGUCAUAAGAGGAAAAUACACUGCAAUCCAGGUGUAUCUCAAGAAAAAAGAAAAAUCCUAAAUACAAAACCUAAACAUACAACUAAAGGAACUAGAAGCAGAAGAGCAAAGAAACCCCAAAGCCAGCAGAAAAAGAGAAGUAGUAAAGAUCAGAGCAGAAAUAAACAAUAUAGAGUCCAAAAAAAUGGUAAAACAUAUCGAUGAAUCUAAGAGCUAGUUUUUUGAGAAAAUAAACAAAAUUGAUAAACCCCUAGCCAAACUUCUCAAAAAGAAAACAGAGAGAACCCAAAUAGAUAAAAUCACGAACGAAAGAUCACAACACCACAGAAAUACAAACAAUUAUUAAAGAAUACUAUGAAAAAUUAUAUGCCAACAAACUGGACAACCUGGAAGAAAUGGACAAAUUCCUAGACACCCAAACACUACCAAACUCAAACGGAAAGAAAUAGAAAAUUUGAACAGACCCAUAAUCAGCAAAGGUAAUGAAUCAGUUAUCAAAAAUCUCCCAAUAAAUAAGUCCUGGGCCAGAUGGCUUCCCAGGGAAAUUCUACCAGACAUUUAAAGCAGAGUUAAUACCUAUCCUUCUCAAGCUGUUCCAAAAUAUAGAGGUGGAAGGAAAGCUUCUGGACUCAUUCUAUGAAGCCAGCAUUACCUUGAUUCCCAACAGACAGAGACCCCACUAAACGGAGAGUUACAGGCCAUAUCCCUGAUGAACACGGACGCAAAAAUUCUCAAUAAGAUACUAGCCAAAUCGAAUUCAACAGUACAUUAAAAGAAUAUUCACCAUGAUCAAGUGGGAUUCAUUCCUGGGCUGCAGGGCUGGUUCAGUAUUCACUAAUCAAUCAAUAUGACACAUCACAUUAAUAAAAGAAAAGAUAAGAACUAUAUGAUAGUGUCAACAGAUGCAGAAAAAGCAUUUGACAAAAUACAGCAUCCUUUCCUAGUAAAAACCCUCAAGAAAGUUGGGAUAGGAGGAACAUACCUUAACAUCAUAAAAGCCAUGUAUGAAAAGCCCACAGCUAACAUCAUCCUCAAUGGGGAAAAACUAAGAGCUUUCCCUCUGAGAUGAGGAACAUGACAGGGAUGUCCACUCUCACCACUGUUGUUUAACACACUAUUGUAAGUCCUAGCUUCAACAGACAACAAAAUGAAAUCAAAGGCAUCCAAAUUGGCAAAGAAGUAGUCAAACUUCUUUGACACACUCUACAUGGAAACAUCACACUCUACAUGGAAAGCCCGAAAGAUUCCACCAAAAAUGCAGUUAGAAAUGAUACAUGAAUUCAGCAAAGUUGCAGAAUACAAAAUCAAUGUACAGAAACCCGUUGCUUUCUAUACAUCAAUAAUAAAGCAAUGGAAAGAAAAAUUAAGAAAUUGAUCCCAUUUACAAUUGCACCAAGAACCAUAAAAUACCUAGGAAUAAACUUACCCAAAGAUGUAAAAGAUCUGGAUGCUGAAAACUAUGGAAAACUUAUGAAGGAAAUUGAAGAAGACACAAAGAAAUGGAAAACCAUUCCAUGCUCAUGGAUUGGAAGAACAAAUGUUGUUAACAUGUCAAUACUACCCAAAGCAAUGUACACCUUCAGUGAAAUCCCAAUCAAACAAUUCUAGCAUUCUUCUCAAAGCUAGAACAAACAAUCCUAAAGUUUGUAUGGAACCACAAAAGACCCCGAAUAGCCAAAGUAAUGUUGAAAAAGAAAACCAAAGCAGGAGGCAUCACAAUCCUAGACUUUACCCUCUACUACAAAAGCUGUAAUCAUCAAGACAGUAUGGUAUUGGCACAAAACCAGACACAUAGACCAAUGGAAUAGAAUAGAGAACCUACAAUUGGACUCACACAUGGACAGUGAACCAAUCUUUGACAAAACAAAAAAGAGUAUCCAAUGGAAAAAAGACAGUCUCUUUAGCAAAUGGUACUGGGAGAACUAGACAGCAACAUGCAGAACAAUGAACCUGGACCACUUUCUUACACCAUACACAAAAAAAAACUCAAAAUGGAUGAAAGACCUAAAUAUGAAACAGGAAGCCAUCAAAACCCUAGAGGAGAAAGCAGGCAACAACCUCUUUGACUUCAGCCGCAACAACUUCUUACUUGACACCUCUCCGAAGGCAAUGGAAAUAAAAGCAAAAAUGAACUACUGGGACUUCAACAAGAUAAAAACCUUCUGUACUACAAAGGAAACAAUCAACAAAACUAAAAGGCAACUGAUGGAAUGGGAAAAGAUAUUUGCAAAUGGCAUAUCAGAUAAAGGUUAGUAUCCAAAAUCUAUAAAGAACUUAUCAAACAUCCUAAAAACAAAUAAUCCAGUGAAGAAAUGGGCAGAAAACAUGAAUAGAUACUUUUCCAACGAAGACAUUCAGAUGGCCAACAGACACAUGAAAAGAUGCUCAAUGUCACUCAUCAUCAAGGAAAUACAAAUCAAAACAACACUGAGAUACCACCUCACACCUGUCAGAGUGGCUAAAAUUAACAACUCAGGAAACAGAUGCUGGCAAGGAUGUGAAGAAAGAGGAACCCUCUUGCACUGUUGGUGGGAAUGCAAACUGGUGCAGCUGUUCUGGAAAACAGUGUGGAGGUUCCUCAAAAACUUAAAAAUAGAAUUACUCUAUGACCUAGCAAUAGCACUACUAGGAAUUUAUUCAAAGGAUACAGGAGUGUUGAUUCACAGAGGAAUAUGUACCCCAAUGUUUAUAGCAGUGCUUUCAACAACAGCUAAAUUAUGGAAAGAGCCCAAAUGUCCAUCAGCUGAUGAAUGGAUAAAGAAGAUGUGGCUUAUAUAUACAAUGGAAUACUAUUUGGCAAUGACAAAGGAGGAAAUCAUGCCAUUUGCAACAACGUGGGUGGAACUGGAGGAUAUUAUGCUAAGUGAAAAAAGUCAGUCAGAGAAAGAUAUCACAUAUUUUCACUCAUAUGUGGAAUCUGAGAAACUUAACAGAAGACCAUGGGGGAACAGAAGGGGGAAAAUAGUGUCAAACAGAGAGGGAGGCAAACCAUAAGAGACUCUUACAUACAGAGAACAAACUGAGGGUUGACAACGGGGAGGUGGAGAGGGGAAGAGGGGAAAAUGGGUGAUGGGUAUCUGAGGAGGGCACUUGUUGGGAUGAGCACCUGGUGUUGUACGUAAGCGAUGUCAUGGGAAUCUACUCCCAAAGCCAAGAGCACACUGUAUACAUUGUAUGUUAGCUAACUUGACAAUAAAUUAUAUUUUAUAAAUAAAUAAAUAAAUAAAUAAAUAAAUAAAUAAAUAAGGAUUAUCUGAAUGAAAUUAUGAGUUAACUAUAUAAGGUAGUAAUAUUGGCAACAUAAAACCAUUUUAAUUUGUCUUCUUCACUGGUUGCCUUGGUAUUAUAAUAUCAACAUUUUAAUAUGUAUUUCAAUAAGAUUAUAAAUGCUCAAAAGGUUUAAUAUUUAUGCUUCUAACAUAAUCAUUUUCAAAAAAUUUUUCACAAAUAUGUUAGAAUUUUUACUUACAUUGCAAAGAACUGAUCAGAAGCAGAUUUAAUUAUUUUGGAGGAAUAAGACAUAUGAGUUUGUUUAUUGAAAUAACUAUUUCAGUAAAGGAGGACUAUUAGCUAUUUAGCUGAGGAAUUUGAGGAAAGAGUAUCUAUGACAACGAGACACUGGGGAAGCAGACUAAAUAAGGAAGAGGGGAGUCAAGGAGUUGGAUGACCCAAAAGCAAGUUGGAGUUUAACCAGGUAGAGUAGUGCUACCUCCUUAUGUUGAUGAUGUUACACCAAGAAAAGCAAUGUGUGGGACACCUGGGUGGCUCAGUUGGUUGAGGCACCGACUUUGGCUCAGGUCAUGAUCUCAUGGUUUGUGAGUUUGAGCCCCGCAUCGGGCUCUAUGCUGACAGCUCUGAGCCUGGAGCCUGCUUGGGAUUCUGUGUCUCCCUCUGUCUCUGCCCCUCCCCCACUCAUGCUCUGUCUCUGUCUCAGAAAUAAAUAUUUAAAAAAAAAUUUUUUUUAAAGAAAAGCAAUGUGUAGACAGGAACUGGAGGAAGAGCAACGUAAGUUCCAGCUAGUGGAGCUACAUUGUAUUAAGAGUUUGGGGGGAUUUGACACAAACAAAGGCAACAAAAGCAAAAAUAAACCAGUGGGACUAUAUCAGACUAAAAACUUCUGCACAGUGAAGGCAACCACCAACAAAAUGAAAAGGCAAGCUACCAAACAGGAGAAAAUACUUGCAAAUCAAUUUCCUGAUAAGGGGCUAAUAUAAAAUACAUAUAUAGAACUCAUGCAGCUCAACACCAAGAAAACAGUCUAAUUUAAAAAUAGGCAGAGGACUUGAAUAGACAUUUUUCCAAAACAGACAUAAGGAUGGUAACACAUUUCACUAAUUAGUGAAAUGCAAAUCAAAACCACAAUAAGCUGUCACUUCACACCUGUUGGAAUGGCUAUUACUGAAAAAACAAGACAUAACAAGUGUUGCCAAGGAGGUAAAGAAAAUCCUUUUGCACUGCUGGUGGGAAAGUAAACUGGUGCAGCAACUAUAGAAAAGAGUAUGAUGUGUUCUCAAAAACUUAAAACUAGAAUUACUAUAUGAUCUAGCAAUUCUACUUGUAGAUAUUCAUCCAAAAAAAAAAAUGAAAACACUAACUCGUAAAGAUAUCUGCACUCCCAUGUUCACUGCAUUGUUUACGAUAGCCAAGACAUGGAAGCAACUUCAGUGUCCAUAGAUGAGUAACUGCAUAAGGAAAAUGUUGUACAUGUAUGUAUACAAGGGGAUGUUAUUCAGCCGUAAAAACGAAUGAAAUCUUGCCAUUUGCAAUGACAUGAAUGGACCUUGAGGACAUUAUGCUAAGUGAAAUAAAUCAGAGAAAAGCAACUAUACAACCUUACUUAUAUGUGGAAUCUAAAGCAAGCAAGCCAACAAACAAACAGAAAGAAUUCACAGAUACAAAGAAUGGCCAGAGGUGGAGAGAAGAGAUAAAUAAAAUGGGCGAAGAAGGUCAAAGAGUAUAAACUUCUACUUACAAGAUGAAUAAAUUCUGAAGAACAAUAUAAAGAAUGUUGAUCACAGCUAACAAUACUGCAUUGUAUAUUUGGAAGUUGCUAAGAGAGCAGAUUUAAAAGUCCUCAGUACACACAAAAAAUUAUACCCAUGUGAGGUGAUGGAUGGGUCAGCUAACCUUACGAUGGCAGUCAUUUCACAAUAUACACAUGUAUCAGAUCAUUAUAUUGUAUGCUUUAAAUGAAUGGAAUGUUAUAUGUCAAUUAUAUCUCAAUAAAACUUGGGGAAAAGCUUUGAAAUUAAAAAAGUAAGAUACUGUCUUCUCAGUUUUGUACAGUGCAAUAAAUAAAUAGCUAAAAACAUUGGGCUCAAAAUUAGUUCGACUUAAGUCUGAAUCCCAACCCUAUCAAACACUAGGUGUGUAUCCAUCCCCAAGUUAUUUACCUGUCAUCUCUUAUUACACACCUUACAGACAAAAUAGUAAAUAGAGAACUUUGAACAAUACCUGGAUCUUUAAAAGCAACACAAAAUGGCAGCUGCUAUUUUUACCGCAUCCUUUCCUACUUAGUAUUAUACAAGUAUUUUUCUGUAAGAUAUUUUUUCAUAAAUGUCACUCACAAAAUAUAUACCAUAAAUUUUAUGUAAUGACAUAUGGUAGUGAACAUCCAGAUAUCUGUAACAUAGUUGCUAAUGAGGCAAAACCUCAUUGAAUAGAACCUAAUCGCCCAAACUGGAAUUACUUAACAUAAACAUGGGAAAAUGUUCCAGAACACUGCUAAACUCAACCAAAUUAAGUUUAUCUAAUAGCUACAAGAGCAGAGACUUGCUAUUUUCUAAUAACAUCUGAAAACUUCACCAAUGUUAAGAAAUAGCCAUUUCCAUUGAAUUAUGUAAGAAUAACAUAUAUAUGGCAAUACCUACUGCUCUCUCCAGUAUCGCUAUGUGACUAGUAUUACUGAUAUUAAUAGGUAAUGACACAACAUUCCAUGAAUUAUGUUUCCUACUGUGUAACUUAAGAGAAUGUUGCCACCUAUACAUUGGAGAAGUUUCCCUUCAAAAUGAAUAAUCUAGGGGCGCCUGGGUGGCUCAGUCAGUUGAGCGUCCAACUUCAGCUCAGGUCAUCAUCUCACAGUUCAUGGGUUUGAGCCCCCCCAUCAGGUACUGUGCUGACAGCUCAGAGCCUGGAACCUGCUUCGGAUUCUGUGUGUGUCUCUGCCCUCCCCUGGUCACAUUCUAUCUCUCUUUCUCUCUCUCAAAAAUAAAUAAAACAUUUUUAAAAGUUUUCAAAAAUAAAAAUUAAAAAUAAUAUGAAUAAUGCAUAUUAAUAAUAAUAUGAAGUAAAAUUACUUCAAACUCUAAUAUCUACAUUUCCAAACUUCUCUAGGAAAAUAUAUAUAUAGAAUCAAUCCAUUCUCUUACCACAGUUUUUUUUAUAAUUCCAAAUGAUUGGAAAAACAAAAUUCAUUAUUUUGAUAUUCAAAGUCUUCAAUAACUUGGUUUCAACCAAUCAUAAUCAUCCUCACAUCCCACCAUAAACCACUCAGCCUACUCUGUAUUCUACCAUGAAGCCAUGUCUGUUUAUGGAUUAAUCCAUAAACACACCCUAUACUCCCUUGAUUCUUUCCCUUUAAUCAUGCCCUCUUUCUCACAUUCUAUCAUCAUGUCCUGCUCACCAUCUGAAAUUUAUGUAUUUUUCAAGAACCCUAAAAAACUUUUUCCUAUGAAGAAUUCCUAAAGUCUUUGUAGCUGAAAUUAAUCAUCCUUUCACAAAACUUUAACAGCAUUUACAUUAUAUUUCCUUUCUGGUACACAUAUCAACUUUUAAUUAUAAACAUUUAGGAAUAUAAUUAUUCUCAUAAAGAGAGUAUAAGUUUGAUCAUUUUUAAUCCUCUAAAGCUUAGAACAAUUCCUUGAAUACAAUAAAUACGUAGUACACUGAUGAAAUUUACUCAAUGGCAUGCCCUGAAAUCAUCAUUACCAACCCUUAACAAGCAAGAUUAUAAAGAAAAGAUUAUAGUCACAAACAUGCCAACAAGUAGAUCAGCACAGAAAAUUUCACUGCAUGAAGUGCAGUCAGUUGUUUCACACAGUGGAUAAUUAUUCGUCCAAUCAAAUCUUUAAAAAUUAUGAUAACGGCAUAUAUAAAAUUAGCAGAAAUGCCAAGUAUCAGCACUAUAAUAACCACCGUAUUUCAAAUAUUAAAUUAGAGAAACACUGGUACCAACCACUAUCCAGGAGAAAUUUUUAACAGAAUGAUACCAAGAAACUACUUAUAUGAAACUGAUCAAUCAUUUCCCAAUAUUAAGCAAUUUCAUAUAACACAUUUUUCUAAUAUGAGUAAAAAGUUUUCAACAUGCAUGCAGUUGCACGGAAGAAUAGAUCUUGAUAGGCUGGUAAUUUUAAAAGUUAAACUGCAAAAUCAAUCAAUAUUAUAUAAUCAUAAAAGAUAUACUUUGCAGACAUGAUUUGAUUGGACAUCUGUGUAAUUAUAAUCUAGUAGAAUAAAACUCCAAAAUUUCUAUACCACUACUGUCAUUCGUUUGUACGACAAUUACUGAGCAGCUGAGGAUGUGGAGAUAAAGCUCUAACUGGGCUGACACUCCAUAGACUCAGACAACUGUGUGACCUCUACUACGCCUCUUCUGCUAUUAGUUAGCACCUACUUUCUGCUAGGGCUCGUGGAGCUUCACCCCAUAAAUGUACAACUCUACCCUGGGCAAAGAUGAACAGGGAACCCUCACAGACUUCUGCCUCUACCCCAACAGCUUUGUCCUUUUCUGCACCCUGUUCCACAUAUUCUAGCUGUUUGAGCUGCCCUUAAUUCUGAUCUCAACCUCCUCAGCUCAGCUUACCUCCACCUCCUAGUGCCUCAAUAAAAAUGUUGGCCCCAGCCAGAUACCAAGGAUGAAUAUCCAGCUCAUCUUCAAUAUAUUUCUACCUGCAAGGAUGUCAGGACUGUGCUAUGUGUAUUGACAAGUGUCAAAGAAACAGAUGGUUUGCAUAGUUUGCCCAUUUUUAUAGUUAUUUACAGCAGUAGGGCACAUUCACUACCAGUUACUCCAAAAAUGGAUAAAAUCAGGUUGGAUGUUUUCUGAAAUUAAUUAAUUAAGCCAGCACUUAUUUCUUUUUUAUUUUAGCCAUUCUGACUAAAAGUGUACAAGGUAUCUCAUUGUGGUUUUGAUUUGCAUUUCCCUGAUGAUUAGUGAUGUUAAGCAUCUUUUCAUGUGUCUGUUGGCUAUAUGUAUAGUCUUCUUUGAGAAAAUGUCUAUUCAGGUCCUCUUUCCAUUUUUUAAUUCGAUUGUUUGUUUUUUGGGAGUUGCAUUGAGUGAAUUCUUUAUAUAUUUUGGAUAUUAACCUCUUAUCAGAUAUAUCAUUUGUCAAUAUCUUCACUCAUUCAUUAGGUUGCCUUUUCAUUUUGUUGGUGGUUUCCUUCACGUGCAAAAGCUUUCCAUUUUGAUAUAGUCCUAAUAGUUUAUUUUUGCUUUUGUUUCCCUUGCCUUAGGAAACAUAUCUAGAAAAAUGCUGCUAAAGCCAAUGUGAGAGAAACUAUUGCCUAUGUUCUCUUUAAGGAUUUUUAUGGUUUUCAGGUCUCAUGUUUAGGUCUUUACACCAUUUUGAGUUUAUUUUCAGCCACUGUGGAAAACAGUAUGGAGAGUCUUCAAAUACUAAAAAUAGAAAUACUGUAAUCCAAUAAUUCCACUACUAGGUAUUUACCCAAAGACAGUGAAAUUACUGGGAUGCCUGAGUGGCUCAGAUGGUUGAGCAUCUGACUUCAGUUCAGGUCAUGAUAGCACGGUGCAUCAGUUCAAGCCGCACAUCAGGCUCUCUGCUGUCAGCACAGAGCCUGCUUGGCAUCCUUUGCCCCUCCCCUGCGCAUUCUCUCUCUCUCUCUCUCUCUCUCUCUCUCUCUCUGUCUGUCUCUCUUUCUCUCUCUCAAAAAUAAACAUUUAAAAAAAGAAAAUGAAAACACUAAUUCAGAAUGAUAGAUGCACCACUAUGUUUAUUGCAGCAUUAUUUACAAUAGCCAAGAUAUGGAAGCUGAUGAUUGCUAGAGGGGAACAGGGUGGAGGGUGGAGGAAUGGGCAAAAUAACUAGAGGGACUGGAAGAUACAAGUUUCCAGUUAUAGAAUAAAAAAGUCACAGGAAAAAAAGGCACAGCAUUAAUAACAUAGUCAAUGGUACUGCAAUAGUGAUGUGUCGUGAUGAAUGGUAGUUACACUUGCACUGAAUGUAGCAUAAUGUAAAAACUUGUCAACUCACUAUGUUGUACAUCUAAAACGUAUGUAACAUUGUGCCACCUACAGUCAAAUAAAAAUUUAAUUAAUUAAGAAACUGUGUAAUUGGAUAGGUUUUAGAAGAUUGUUUUGCAAAUUCUCCUCCUCAUCUCCACGUGAAAAAAAAUCAGUUAAAGAGUACCAAUGGAUCCAAAAAGGAACAACAACAACAACAAAACCAGCAUUUUCAGUUGGAUGGAUUUAUGAGAGGUAAUCGAGAGCAGAUUAUUCCCUACUAAAAUAAAUAAAACUCACUUAUUCCUAAUGAAUUUCAAAAAAUCUUAAAAGUUUCAUGAGCCUGACUGAAUCAGUUUUCAAGCUAUGUUCUCUAUGAAGCAUUUCUCAGUUCCUACAAUCAGAAUCCUUUUCCAUGAUCCCACUGGACUUACUGUUUUCAGAUUGUAUCAGGAUUUUAAAUUCAAUCAACUUCACUUUUUAGCUUUUUUGUAGGUCUUUCUCCCUUACUUGGUUAUAAGUUACUUGAAGGUAAUUUAGAGCUUUGCAUGUUCCAUAAUGCCUAUAAUAGUGCUCCAUGUAUAGAAAUGGCUUAACAAAUGUUCUCUGAAUUUUAAAGUUGUAUGAGGAAAUUCAUCCAAAUAGAAUUGUUUUUCCUCUAGUCAUUUCAAAGCUACUUCUAUUUUUUAAUGUUUAUUUAUUUAUUUUGAGGGGUAGGGGAAGGAGGGGCAGAGAGACAGAGAAUGAAUCCCAAGCAGGCUCCAGGCUGUCAGCAAAGAGACCACUGCGGGGCUCAAUCCCACCAACCAUGAGAUCAUGACCUGAGCGGGAAUCAAGAAUCAAACACUUAACCGACUGAGCCACCCAAGCACCACUAAAGUUACUUUUUAAAUGACUUUUCUUUAUCCAGAGAAAAUUCAGAAUUUAGAAUAAAAUUAUCCAUUCCUCUUUAUUUAAUAUUUUAGCAUUUUAAUUUUUAUUUUAUUAUUCUUUUUUUGAGAAUAUGCAUACCCUUUAUAUUAAGAUCAUUCUUUUAAGAUUACAAAUAUACUAUCCUAUUUCUUCUUUGAUUCUGCGUUUCUUUAUGGAUUCAAUUCGGUCAUUACACUUUUGUUAUCUACUAUUGCUAAAACCUACCACUUUCCAGUUUUUGUCUAUUUCAAUAUCUUUAUUUGACUUUGUGCCCUUUUCCUUUACUUGCUACAUGUAUGAAAGAGUUGGUUGCUUUGAGAAACACAGCAAGCAUUAAGUAUGAAUAUGAAAUCACCAAUGUUCUUCGCCACAAACUGCACUUAUAACCAGUAAAUUCUUUUUUGAGCUGAAAUUCUUGUACUAAUAAUUACUAAUAUAAUUCAUUCUUAUAAUCCUCAGUGAUUUAAGUGAAAAGUCCUAAAAAACACUAAAGAUAUCACUCUGGCUCCUGGUUACUAUCCUUUAAAAAUAAUGCUGAAAUAGCUUAUUAACUCUUAUCUUUUUUUAUAAUCCUAUCAUGCUUAAGAACUCAGAAUACCUGCUGUCUAAAAAUAAUGAUUGAAAUAAAAUACUGAAAAAUGGGUUACUAAAUAGUAAUUAGCUUUGGCAUGUUGGCAUUUUACAAUUCCGAAAUGUAUGUGCAUUCUUCUGUCUGGAAAAAAAACCUUAACCCUCAUUUUGUUUAUAUUGCUUCCAGUGAAAUAAACAAUGUUUAAUAUAUUCUCUAGAAGUUAUAAAAUCUUUUUGGGAAAUAUCAUAUAAGAAGUCUAAAACAACCUAUUCUUAGUUGAAAAAAAAUGUCCUUAAUUUUUUUCAGUCCAUGAUGCAAAUAUCAUAAUUCCCUGCUUUGGCUUGUAGGAGCAAAACUACCUCACAUUAUAAUUAACUAAAUACAACAUUUUUAGUUUAGUUUUUUUUUUUUUUAGUUAUGAUACAACUUAAGUGACUUAAUAAUUUUCUUAU
RNAcentral lists this long non-coding RNA (16869 nucleotides) under Lynx pardinus (Iberian lynx). The record is from RNAcentral. Lineage: Eukaryota; Metazoa; Chordata; Mammalia; Carnivora; Felidae.